This 754-nucleotide ribosomal RNA is filed under the name Enterococcus durans. RNAcentral describes it as "bacterial SSU rRNA". It matches the Rfam family "Bacterial small subunit ribosomal RNA", at positions 37 to 765 of the family's 1533-position model. Lineage: Bacteria; Bacillati; Bacillota; Bacilli; Lactobacillales; Enterococcaceae. The record is from RNAcentral.
GUGCGGGGUGCUAAUAAUGCAGUCGUACGCUUCUUUUUCCACCGGAGCUUGCUCCACCGGAAAAAGAAGAGUGGCGAACGGGUGAGUAACACGUGGGUAACCUGCCCAUCAGAAGGGGAUAACACUUGGAAACAGGUGCUAAUACCGUAUAACAAUCGAAACCGCAUGGUUUUGAUUUGAAAGGCGCUUUCGGGUGUCGCUGAUGGAUGGACCCGCGGUGCAUUAGCUAGUUGGUGAGGUAACGGCUCACCAAGGCCACGAUGCAUAGCCGACCUGAGAGGGUGAUCGGCCACAUUGGGACUGAGACACGGCCCAAACUCCUACGGGAGGCAGCAGUAGGGAAUCUUCGGCAAUGGACGAAAGUCUGACCGAGCAACGCCGCGUGAGUGAAGAAGGUUUUCGGAUCGUAAAACUCUGUUGUUAGAGAAGAACAAGGAUGAGAGUAACUGUUCAUCCCUUGACGGUAUCUAACCAGAAAGCCACGGCUAACUACGUGCCAGCAGCCGCGGUAAUACGUAGGUGGCAAGCGUUGUCCGGAUUUAUUGGGCGUAAAGCGAGCGCAGGCGGUUUCUUAAGUCUGAUGUGAAAGCCCCCGGCUCAACCGGGGAGGGUCAUUGGAAACUGGGAGACUUGAGUGCAGAAGAGGAGAGUGGAAUUCCAUGUGUAGCGGUGAAAUGCGUAGAUAUAUGGAGGAACACCAGUGGCGAAGGCGGCUCUCUGGUCUGUAACUGACGCUGAGGCUCGAAAGCGUGUG